GUGGGGAAUAUUGGACAAUGGGCGAAAGCCUGAUCCAGCCAUGCCGCGUGUGUGAAGAAGGUCUUCGGAUUGUAAAGCACUUUAAGUUGGGAGGAAGGGCAGUAAGUUAAUACCUUGCUGUUUUGACGUUACCGACAGAAUAAGCACCGGCUAACUUCGUGCCAGCAGCCGCGGUAAUACGAAGGGUGCAAGCGUUAAUCGGAAUUACUGGGCGUAAAGCGCGCGUAGGUGGUUUUGUAAGUUGGAGGUGAAAUCCCCGGGCUCAACCUGGGAACUGCCUCCAAAACUGCAUGACUAGAGUACGGUAGAGGGUAGUGGAAUUUCCUGUGUAGCGGUUAAAUGCGUAGAUAUAGGAAGGAACACCAGUGGCGAAGGCGACUACCUGGACUGAUACUGACACUGAGGUGCGAAAGCGUGGGGAGCAAACAGGAUUAGAUACCCGUGUAGUCC
RNAcentral lists this ribosomal RNA (450 nucleotides) under uncultured bacterium. RNAcentral describes it as "partial 16S ribosomal RNA". It matches the Rfam family "Bacterial small subunit ribosomal RNA", at positions 354 to 796 of the family's 1533-position model. The record is from RNAcentral.